GUCCUGGUCAGGUACUUGUUUGCCCGUGUGCAGGGAAAUAGGAAUGAAAUUGUUUAAUAACAAAUUGAAAGACUAGUACAAAGUCUUCCCUUGAAGAAGACUCCAGGCUACCCUGGAUUCCUUGGAAAGUUAAGCCAAGCAUUUUACCAGAUUACUGGACAUGGAAGAUCUCAACCUACAGGCAGGGGCUGUUAGGGUUCAAGCAGUUCAUCUGUGUGGUUUGUUUGGGAUUUUAAAAACUUAUGCAGAAACUAUCAGCUAUAAGGAAUUACUACCUAAAUCAUGGCUAUAAUGAGUUUUAGAUGUGCUGGCUUAACAUGAGAAAGUGUAUACAUCAGAGGUCAAUCAGGAAAACAGAAAUCACUUUGGGCAUUUCAGGCAGAGGAUUAAUAUUAGGAAUCAGGUGUUUACAACAUUGAAGAGGAGAAAGUCAGGGGAAGUUACCACCGGCUUCCAGGUUUGAGCUGUUGCUGUGGUCCUGAAAGCAGUGAGUUGUGGCUGUCACACAAGAACUACAGGAACUAGCCACCAAUCAUUAUUUCUCCUUGUUGCAUAGAGAUGAGUGACUAACAGUGAAAUACCUGUGGUCAUUACAACAUUUCCCAUCUGCUUCAUCCCACAUACCUAUCCACUGCUGCAAGAGGAAGAAAGAAAUUACUUUUGCCUCUCUUCUGCCUAACUAACAUCGAGUGUAUUUGUGGCUGACUGUAAAUUUCAUCCAAGAUCCUGGAUGAAAUGUGAUCAGAGAACUACAGUUCCAAGACUCUCCAGCACUCGUGAUACAGAGAAGAGAAUAGAAGGGAGUGGAAAUGCAUUUUGGAUAAAGAAAACGAAGCAGUCUACUUCUUUGGCUAUUCAGCAACCAUACAGAUCUUUCUAUUUAUAAUCAAGUUUACAAAUAACAGCAGCAAAAAUAGCCUGCUUCCUCCUAAUGUAAUGCAACAAUCUCUUAUACAAAGGAAAGCAUAUUCACCCUUUCCUCUGGAAGGGGACAGCCAAAGUCUCAUCAAUCAUUAUGAAUGAUAUUUCUAGUUCAGUCAUAAUCCCCCUUUGAUAUUCUAUACACAGUGGAUUAAUUUAUAAUGUUAACUACCACCAACACAACUUAUAUGAAGUAAUAAAAAGGGGAACAGGAAGAAAGGUUGAUAAAGUACAUAUAUAACAGAACAUGGAAAAGUGUACAUAGGAACUUCAUGCUUGUUUCUGCAACUCAUCAUUGCACUAUAACUUACAUUUAUUAUCUCCUUAAUAAACUACGUAUAUCCUGUC
Lutra lutra (Eurasian river otter) is the source of this 1269-nucleotide long non-coding RNA. RefSeq lists it as uncharacterized. The record is from RefSeq and is a predicted model, not a curated record. The transcript has 2 exons. Lineage: Eukaryota; Metazoa; Chordata; Mammalia; Carnivora; Mustelidae.